UCCUGACCUUCAGCGUGCCUGCUCCUCAGCCAUGGUGCCCUCCAGGAAGUUCUUCGUUGGAGGGAACUGGAAGAUGAACGGGAGGAAGAACAAUCUGGGGGAACUCAUCAACACUCUGAAUGCGGCCAAGGUGCCGGCCAACACCGCGGUGGUUUGCGCACCCCUCACCACCUACAGUGACUUCGCCCAGCAGAAGCUGGAUCCCAAGACUGCUGUGGCUGCACAGAACUGUUACAAAGUGGUCAAUGGGGCCUUUACGGGGGAGAUCAGCCCUGGCAUGAUCAAAGAUCUUGGAGCCACGUGGGUAGUCCUGGGGCACUCCGAGAGAAGGCAUGUCUUUGGGGAGUCAGAUGAGCUGAUUGGGCAGAAAGUAGCCCCUGGCAGAGGGACUUGGAGUGACUGCCUGCACUGGGGAGAAGUUAGAUGAGAGGGAAGCUGGCAUCACUGAGAAGGUCAUUUUCGAGCAAACCAAGGUCAUCACAGAUAACGCGAAGGAUUGGAGCAAGGUUGUCUUGGCCUAUGAGCCUGUGUGGGCCUUGGUACUGGCAAGAUGGCAACACCCCAACAGGCCCAGGAAGUACACGAAAAGCUCCGGGGAUGGCUUAAGUCCAACGUCUCUGAUGCAGUGGCUCAGAGUGCCCACAUCACUUAUGGGGGUUCUGGGACGGGGGCAACCUGCAAGGAGCUGGCAAGCCAGCCUGAUGUGGAUGGCUUCCUUGUGGGCGGUGCUUCCCUCAAGCCUGAGUUCCUCGACAUCAUCAAUGCCAAACAAUAAACCCUGUCCAUCUCCGCUACCCUUCCUGCC
Molecule: RNA transcript, 805 nt
Organism: Capra hircus (goat)
Lineage: Eukaryota; Metazoa; Chordata; Mammalia; Artiodactyla; Bovidae
Gene name: triosephosphate isomerase pseudogene
Exons: 1
Source: RefSeq, a predicted model, not a curated record